Non-coding RNA from Rattus norvegicus (Norway rat), 6117 nucleotides. NCBI's taxonomy places the organism in Eukaryota, Metazoa, Chordata, Mammalia, Rodentia, Muridae. The record is from RefSeq and is a predicted model, not a curated record.
UCGAGGUCUCCUACAUGCUCAAGCUAGGCCCAGUGUGGCAUUCAUUUCUGACGCCUGUGGAUCUAGGUGUAGAACUCUCAGCUCCUCUCCAGCACCAUGUCUGACUUGAGGCUGCCAUGUUUCCCCACCAUGACGAUAAUGGACUAAACCUUUGAAACUGUAGGCCAGACCCAAUUGGAUGAUUUCCUUUCUAAGAGUUGCCUUGGUCAUGGUGUCUCUUCCCAGCAGUAGAACCCUAAGGAAGACAAGCCAGUCAGCGAAGCAGGGCGUUGAUGGAGAACCCCUGCAGAGAACCCACCGAUGCUGAACAGUUACUGUACUUACUCAGUGUGGGAAACAUGAUAGCAACCUGUGUCCUAGAGUGCGGCUGGGGUACUGUCUGUCCACCAUGCUAAGGUGAGCCGCUCACAACCAUCUUUGCAUGGUCUGCCUGACCAUGACUCUUCCUCUUGGGCUCCACGAAGGUGUAAGCAAAAUCCCAGAAAUAUGCAAACAGUUUUGUUUUGUUUUAUGUGUAAUCUCAUACCAUAAAGCAAUUCUUAUUUUUAACUUUAUUUAAUGUGUAUGAAUAUUUGCUUACAUCUAUGUGCACCAUGUGAAUACAUGGUGCUCUCAGAGGCCAAAAGAAGGCAUUAGAUGCCCUGGAACUGGAGCUACGGAUCAUUGUGAGCCACACUAUGUGGUGCUGGGAACCAAACUCAGGUCCCCUGGAGGAGCAGCUGUUGUAAUCACUGAGUCAUCUCUCCAGCCCCCUCAUUGUUCUUGUUCUCAUUCUGCUGUAGUUUUUGAGAUGUAUUUAUUUUAUGUAUGUGAGCACUCCGUCACUGUUUUCAGACACACCAGAAGAGGACAUUACAGAUGAUUGUGAGCCACCAUGUGGUUGCUGGGAAUUGAACUCAAGACCUUCAGAAGGGCAGUCAGUGCUCUUAACCACUGAGCCAUCUCUCCAACCCUUCUGCUGUAGUUUUUAAAGGUGGGUUAUUAGCUCAGGCUAGCCUCACUCCAGUUCAGAAUAACCUCCAGUUCACGGCAAUUCUCCUGCCUCAGCCUCCCAAAUGCUGAGACUACAGGCAUGAUCAUCAUAUCUUCUUGCUUUUGCUUUUACUUUUUGCUGUGUGUGUGUGUGUGUGUGUGUGUGUGUGUGUGUGUGUACGCUGUGACUCGAGCACAGACCCUUCUAUGUGCUAAGCAAGAGCCUAACACUUAGCCCCACCCUGCUCCUAAUGGUUCCUGAGAAGCAGCCAUUUCCUCCUAACUGUAGCAACAAGAACAUCAAACUUGCUCAGUUUUACCAGCUUAGUAGAUUAAAAACCGGCAAGCAGGACUGGACAGACGUCUCAGCAAAUAAGCACUUGCUGCUCUUCCAGAGGACUAAGUCCAAUCCCCAGCUCUGUGCUGUGCUAUUCACAGCAACCUGUAAACUCAGGCUGGCCUCUGAUGGCACCUGCACACUCAUGGUAUGUACUGAGUCAUACAUAUACAUGUAAGUCAAAAAUUGUAAACACGGCGAGCAAAUUGUGCUGAUUGCCUCUUCCUUUUCUCCCUCCUCCCCCUCAUGUCGUUCUUUUAUUAUACUGAUCUGGAAAAUCAAUCUAAUUUUUUUUCUUUUCUUUUUUUUUUGGAGCUGGGGACCGAACCCAGGGCCUUACGCUUCCUAGGCAAGCGCUCUACCACUGAGCUAAAUCCUCAACCCCCGUAAAUCAAUCUAAUUAAAGUGGGUACUAGACCCAUGUGGCAUAGGCAAAAAUAACUGUUCAAUGAUUCUGAAGUCAGACACGAUACAAGUGUGUGCUUGUGUAUGAUCAAGAGGCAUUUUGCUGUCACAAGUCAAGGUGGAGAGAGGCUCAAAGUGUAAGGCACAGCAGAUCCAUCUCUUAGAAAACAAGUUCAUCCUGUAUUUGUGUGAGGAACAGUUUGUUGUUUGGUGACCACAGAUGAGACUCUUUUAGCUGCCACUAGAAACCCUAGAAGAGGUUUCAUUUAGUAUUAUACAUAUAUACGUGUGCAUACAUACAUGUGUUUGUAUAUAGCUGUGAGUGUAUGCUAUACUGUAUAGGGAUCAUGUGUAUGUGUGUGCACACGUGUGCAUGCAUUUGUUUAAAGUAAAUCUAACACAUAAUAUUAAUUCAAGAUUGAUCCCAACCUUCUGGAGUUUGCUCCACUGGGGUCAGGGAAGAAAUUUUGUUUCUGUUUUUAUUUUUGUUUUUAACUCACAGUGAUGGUUACAUUCAUCUUCCACUGGAAUGAAUAUGUCCUCCGUAGCCCAACUGCUGAAGAGUGUCGGGCAGUCCACAGGGACAAAAAUGGGCUCUGGCUUCUCACUGACUGCCUCAGUACGGUCCCUCCCUGGCCUCUGCCCAAGCAGGUCCUUAGUAAGCCAAGUACUAGGGGAAGCUAGAAGUGCUACAUCUCAAUUCCUCUGACCCAACGCCCUGCACCCAGAGGUGCUGUUCUUAAUGGAUUCUGUGAAGGGAGUAACACAAAGAGCCAAAAUGCCAGCAUGAAGAUGGGAGCCCCAGGUAAGCAGGAGACUUUGAUGAGGAUCAGCUGCUCUCUGGUGAGAGUCUGGAGGACACUGUUCCUGGUUCUGGGGUUAAAGGUGUGUGUCAUGACACCCUGCUGGCUUGAAAUUCUUGUCCAGUCACAGACAGUGGGAACCAGCUGGCAGGUUCAGCUCUAUGCUGGCCUCAUUUGAGAGCCCCAUCUGAUGAUCCACCAUGAUGCUACAGAUGGUUGUGAGCCACCAUGUGGUUUCUGGGAAUUGAACUCAGGACCCCUGGAAGAGCAGUCAGUGCUCUUAACCACAGAGCCAUCUCUCCAGCCCUGUAACGCUUCUCUUAAUCCUUCCCUCAUACUAUUAUGCUCCUACAGAGGUUGCCCAUAUGACACACAUGAGAAAGAGGUGCAGAAGCAUGAACAGGCAGGAAGAGUGUCCUGGGGACGCUGACUCCAUGCUCACUUCAUUUCUUGGCAUCGGCCCGCACAGCCACAACUUGAAUGGUUUUGCAAACCAUCAUCUUCUCACCCAUUAGAAACCGUUUGGGUCAGAUUUGAUAGCUUGUUGGUAAGGUGAGGUCCAGCUUGUCUCCACUAGGUCAUCUUCAUGUGAAUCCGGUGGUUAUACGGUUUUGUUCUAGGGAUAUUUCAUUUUUUUAAUAACGGUUUUAGCUGACAUUCAUGGAGAGAAUGAAUCCUUAGAAGUGUGCCACUAGUGAAAGGAAAUCCUGUCUAGAGUAUGUUUCUUUACAAAGCUGUGUCACACCAUCCUUUGGGCCCUCUGCUGGAAAAGUAGAAUCAAGUCUCAAAUAAUGCCUUUUAAAUUGUAUCCUCUAGUAUUAUAGAUGUAGGACAGUACUGUAUCAUACCUCUGUGGAUGUAAAAUAGCUUGUACCUGCUUUAUGAUACGUAGUAGUGACCGUGCUUUAUCAGAGCUGUUUUUAAUGAUGUUGCUCAGAAUGUUUUCUUUCCAGAUGAUGAUUGAGAAGCUAAUUUAAAAAAAAAUGGUGCCAGGUACCACAAGAUUAACAGAACUGUGCUGUUUUCUCAGGUUUUGUUUUUUUUACUUUUUUUUUUUUAAUGGAGUAUGCUGGAUGUCUCUACAGUUUUGUUCAGAUGACUGCAGAACCUGGAAAAGCUGUUGCUGCUGUUGAUGCAUAACACACUGCUAUUAUUGGUCUUUUUAUAUAAAUAUAAAUAUAUAUAUACAGAUAUAUAAUUUGAAUUUUUUGAAACUUUACCUGUGCUGUCAACUUUGGAAAAAAGUAUCCCCAUUUACUGUGUUGAGUUGGCACUGUACAGAAAUUAACAGCCAUAUUGGUCUAGAAAUGUUGAACUUAAGUUUUUUCCAUUUGUACAGGGGUAACACACUGUAUUAAAUAUGUAAGGUCUUAUAUACGUGGGUUUGAUUACAAAAACUAAUAAAGUAUUCUCUAAAUUAAAAAAAAUAAAAAAAUAAAAAUAAAUAAAAAAAAUAAAAAAAAAGAAACCGUUUGGGCUCGACACUCUUGCUGCUGCUGCUGCUGCUGCUGCUGCUGCUGCUGCUGCUGCUGCUGCUGCUGCUGCUAUUUUGAAACAGGGUCUCACUAUGUAGCUCUGAAUGACCUGGAACUCUGUAGAACAGGCUAGCCUCAAACUCACAGAUAUCCAACCUUCCUCUUCUUCCCGUAUACUGGGAUUAAAGAUGUGUGGCAUGACACUCAGCUCACUUGAAUUCUUGUCCAGUUCAUAGUCAGUGGGAAACAGUUGGCAGGUUCAGCUCCACUCUGACUUCUUCUGGGAGCCUCUUCUGAUGUUCAGCCAUGUUGCCAUCCGAUAUAUUAUGAUUCCCCCUCUCCCUUAAUCCUUCCCUCUCAGAAGACGGCUGAUGCCCAGAGAGGCCUGGCUCCCUGCAGCCUUACUGAUGCUGCUGUGGAAGGGAUGGACCAGCCCAUCAUGAGUGGCGGGAGAUCACUAAGAGCAUCAUCUCAGCAGGCUGGUCCUCACCAUUCCUGGAAACAGUCUCCACUUUACUGAGGAUGAUUCGACCCCAUAGCGCAGUUCACGAGGCCCCAAGGACUCCGCCAGCCACAUCUGCUGGCGUCCAGAGCUUCCAAUUGUUGGCUUUUCUCUGCACCACAGUGAAGCAGCUCGUAUCAGGCACCUCACAGCCACUCGCACUGAGUUCUUCACAUCCUCACGGUCACCAGGCUCAGCUGUGAUGCCAUGGCACGUGUGUGGAGCUCAGAUGACAACACUGUGGAGUGGAUUCCUCUUUCCAACUUUACGUGGAUUCCAGGUUUUAUCAGCGGCCAGAACCUACUUGGCUUACGAGUUACAGCCCCCAGGGAAGGAGCUGGAGGAAUGACACUGACCACAGUGAUCUGGACCCUGGUAUAUCCACUAGCAACUAAGAAAAUGCCCUAGGGACACUGACAGACAGGCCAACCCUGAUGAAGGUAACUCUUUAACUGAGGGCUCCUCUUCCACAUAACUCUAGUUUGUGGCAAGUUGACAAAAACAAACCAGAUCUUUGGGAUCUCUCUCUCUCUCUCUCUCUCUCUCUCUCUCUCCCUCCCUCUCUCUCUCUCUCUCUCUCCCCCUCCCCCCCCCUCUCUCUCUCUCUCCCUCUCUCUGUGUGUGUGUGUGUGUGUGUGUGUGUGUGUGUGUGUGUGUGUGUGUGUGUUAAUGUAUCUGGUCAUAGUCACCUCCCUCACCCUCACUUACUCCACUUCCAUUCACUCUGAAUCCUUUUCCUCCCCCUCCUACUGAGUUUAACUAGGUUUGUUUGCCUGGGUAGGGGUAUGUGGUUACUUACCAGACAGUUGUCAGUGGCUACACCACUGGAGAAGAAAAGACUCCUCCUCUUUUAGCAGUCAUUAACUGGGGGUGGGACCUUACGAGACCCUCCCAGUUGUGAUGGAAUGGUAACAGGUCCAGCCAGUCACUUCCGCUAUGAGUCCAUAGUACAUCAGUCACGUCGUGUCCAGAAGACAGUGUUUCAACACACGCCAUCCCCACUCUCACGUGCUUACCACUCCUUCUUCUGAGAUGAUCCCCGAGCCAUGCAGGGGUGAGAUAGAUGCCUUAGAGUUGAACACUCAACAUCUUGACCAGUUAUGAGCCUCUGUGUUAACAAAAACUUGAAAGAAUACCACACUAACAGAGUGACACACUUUUGUUCCCUGAGACAUGGAUUCAUGUACCCUAAGCUGGCCUCCAACUCACUAUGUAGCCGAAAUAUGAUUCUGAACUAUGCACCUCCUACCUACAACUCCCAAGUGCUGCUGAGAUUGCAGGGGUGUGCACCACCAUCCCCUGUUUAUAUGGGACUGGGGGAGGGGGGGAUCCAAGGCUUCGUGCACAUCACACAAGCUUGAAUCAACUAAGCUAUGUCCCAGCCCUUCUCCGUCUGGCUUUUUUUUUUUAAAUAUUUAUUUAUUUAUUUUAUGUGUAAGUACACUAUAACUGUCUCCAGACACACCAGAAGAGGGCAUCAGAUCUCAUCACAGAUGGCUGUGAGCCACCAUGUGGUUGCUGGGAUUUGAACCCAGGACCCCCGGAAGAGCAGUCAGUGCUCUCAACCGCUGAGCCAUCUCUCUAGCCCCUCCGUCUGGCUUUAAAUAUACUCUUUUUGGUUUG